Molecule: long non-coding RNA, 412 nt
Organism: Scophthalmus maximus (turbot)
Lineage: Eukaryota; Metazoa; Chordata; Actinopteri; Pleuronectiformes; Scophthalmidae
Exons: 3
Source: RefSeq, a predicted model, not a curated record
UGGAUGUACAGAAACUCCUGAGCUGACCUGACUGAAGUGCUGGUUCUCUCUGCAUCCGACAUCAGGCGAUUCAAGGUGUCCACUAGGUGGCGGCUGUUCGUGCCGGCUUCCAGUUUGCUGAUGGUCAACUGGUACAGCUCACGGUCAACUCCUUUACAUGCGAUUUCACAUGCUGACCUGGUGGAGGACUGCUGCUGCUGCUGCUGCUGCGGCUGCUGGAUCUACUCUCCUCCUCAGGACCAAAAUAAUCCAGGUUGAGAGCAAAGCAGCCUAUUCUAGCACGGGGAGACAGCGGAUUCAAAGGGCCCUUAACCGUGACAUCGAAGACACCGUGCAGCAUCAAAGUCCGAAGAGAAGCAAAACCAAGCAGAAAAAGGAUCAACUGAUUUAUUUCAGUAUUUACAUGUAUAUU